This 421-nucleotide ribosomal RNA is filed under the name uncultured bacterium. RNAcentral's name for it is "partial 16S ribosomal RNA". It matches the Rfam family "Bacterial small subunit ribosomal RNA", at positions 360 to 773 of the family's 1533-position model. The record is from RNAcentral.
AAUAUUGUACAAUGGGGGCAACCCUGAUCCACCCAUGCCGCGUGUGUGAAGAAGGUCUUCGGAUGGUAAAGCACUUUAAGUUGGGAGGAAGGGUUGUAGGUUAAUACCCUGAAGUUUUGACGUUACCAACAGAAUAAGCACCGGCUAACUCUGUGCCAGCAGCCGCGGUAAUACAUAGGGUGCAAGCGUUAAUCGGAAUUACUGGGCGUAAAGGGCGCGUAGGUGGUUCAGUAAGAUGGGUGUGAAAUCCCCGGGCUUAACCUGGGAACUGCUUUCAUAACUGCUGAGCUAGAGUACGGUAGAGGGUAGUGGAAUUUCCUGUGUAGCGGUGAAAUGCGUAGAUAUAGGAAGGAACACCAGUGGCGAAGGCGACUACCUGGGCUAAUACUGACACUGAGGUGCGAAAGCGUGGGGGGCAAAC